AGAAUCAACGCUGGCGGCGUGCCUAACACAUGCAAGUCGAACGAGAAAGUGGUAGCAAUACCAUGAGUACAGUGGCGCACGGGUGAGUAACACGUGACUAACCUACCCUGGAGUGGGGGAUAACUGAGGGAAACCUUAGCUAAUACCGCAUAAUACCUACGGGUCAAAGGAGCAAUUCGCUUCAGGAGGGGGUCGCGGCCGAUUAGUUAGUUGGCGGGGUAAUGGCCCACCAAGACAGUGAUCGGUAUCCGGCCUGAGAGGGCGCACGGACACACUGGAACUGAAACACGGUCCAGACUCCUACGGGAGGCAGCAGUGGGAAUUUUGCGCAAUGGGGGAAACCCUGACGCAGCAACGCCGCGUGGAGGAUGAAGUCCUUCGGGACGUAAACUCCUUUCGAUCGGGACGAUAAUGACGGUACCGGAAGAAGAAGCCCGGCUAACUUCGCGCCAGCAGCCGC
Molecule: ribosomal RNA, 460 nt
Filed under: uncultured bacterium
Lineage: Bacteria
Description: SSU rRNA
Rfam family: Bacterial small subunit ribosomal RNA
Source: RNAcentral